GGCUCAGGAUGAACGCUGGCGGCGUGCCUAAUACAUGCAAGUCGAGCGGUAACACUUCGGGUGACGAGCGGCGGACGGCUGAGUAACGCGUAGGAACGUACCCCAAACUGAGGGAUAAGCACCAGAAAUGGUGUCUAAUACCGCAUAUUAUCUUCGGAUCAAAGCUUCGGCGGUUUGGGAACGGCCUGCGUAUGAUUAGCUUGUUGGUGAGGUAAAAGCUCACCAAGGCGACGAUCAUUAGCUGGUCUGAGAGGAUGAUCAGCCAGACUGGGACUGAGACACGGCCCAGACUCCUACGGGAGGCAGCAGUAGGGAAUUUUCCACAAUGGGCGAAAGCCUGAUGGAGCAACGCCGCGUGCAGGAUGAAGGCCUUCGGGUUGUAAACUGCUUUUAUAUGUGAAGAAUUUGACGGUAGCAUAUGAAUAAGGAUCGGCUAACUCCGUGCCAGCAGCCGCGGUCAUACGGAGGAUCCAAGCGUUAUCCGGAAUUACUGGGCGUAAAGAGUUGCGUAGGUGGCAUCGUAAGUCGGUAGUGAAAGCGUGAGGCUCAACCUCAUAGACAUUAUCGAAACUGCGAAGCUAGAGGACAAGAGAGGUCACUGGAAUUCCUAGUGUAGGAGUGAAAUCCGUAGAUAUUAGGAGGAACACCGAUGGCGUAGCAGGUGACUGGCUUGUUCCUGACA
Molecule: ribosomal RNA, 682 nt
Filed under: uncultured bacterium
Lineage: Bacteria
Description: bacterial SSU rRNA
Rfam family: Bacterial small subunit ribosomal RNA
Source: RNAcentral